This 259-nucleotide ribosomal RNA is filed under the name uncultured prokaryote. RNAcentral describes it as "partial 16S ribosomal RNA". It matches the Rfam family "Bacterial small subunit ribosomal RNA", at positions 524 to 782 of the family's 1533-position model. The record is from RNAcentral.
UACGUAGGUGGCAAGCGUUGUCCGGAUUUAUUGGGCGUAAAGCGAGCGCAGGCGGUUCCUUAAGUCUGAUGUGAAAGCCCACGGCUCAACCGUGGAAGGUCAUUGGAAACUGGGGAACUUGAGUGCAGAAGAGGAGAGUGGAAUUCCAUGUGUAGCGGUGAAAUGCGUAGAUAUAUGGAGGAACACCAGUGGCGAAGGCGACUCUCUGGUCUGUAACUGACGCUGAGGCACGAAAGCGUGGGGAGCAAACAGGAUUAGA